RNAcentral lists this transfer RNA (72 nucleotides) under Urocitellus parryii (Arctic ground squirrel). RNAcentral describes it as "Spermophilus parryii (Arctic ground squirrel) tRNA". It matches the Rfam family "tRNA". From Rfam's summary of the family: Transfer RNA (tRNA) molecules are approximately 80 nucleotides in length. Their secondary structure includes four short double-helical elements and three loops (D, anti-codon, and T loops). Lineage: Eukaryota; Metazoa; Chordata; Mammalia; Rodentia; Sciuridae. RNAcentral also lists the same sequence under 1 other name. The record is from Rfam by way of RNAcentral.
AGAACUGUAGCUCAGUGGCAGAGCACUUGCCUAGCAUGUGUGAGGCACUGGGUUCAAUCCUCAGCAGCACCA